GUCGAGGGAGAAGCUAUCUUCGGAUGGUGGAGACCGGCAGACGGGUGAGUAACACGUGGGAACAUACCGAGUAGUGGGGGAUAACAGUUGGAAACGACUGCUAAUACCGCAUACGCCCUUCGGGGGAAAGAUUUAUCGCUAUUCGAUUGGCCCGCGUUAGAUUAGCUAGUUGGUAAGGUAAUGGCUUACCAAGGCGACGAUCAUUAACUGGUCUGAGAGGACGAUCAGUCACACUGGAACUGAGACACGGUCCAGACUCCUACGGGAGGCAGCAGUGAGGAAUUUUGGACAAUGGGGGAAACCCUGAUCCAGCGACGCCGCGUGUGGGAUGAAUGGGUUAUGCCCUGUAAACCACUGUCAGCAGAGAAGAAAAGGCUCCUUUGGAGCCCGGGACUGUAUCUGCAGAGGAAGGACCGGCUAACUUCGUGCCAGCAGCCGCGGUAAUACGAGGGGUGCAAGCGUUAAUCGGAAUUACUGGGCGUAAAGCGCACGCAGGCGGUUUGUUAAGCUAGAUGUGAAAGCCCCGGGCUCAACCUGGGAAUAGCAUUUAGAACUGGCAGACUAGAGUCUUGGAGAGGGGAGUGGAAUUUCUGGUGUAGCGGUGAAAUGCGUAGAUAUCA
Molecule: ribosomal RNA, 620 nt
Filed under: uncultured bacterium
Lineage: Bacteria
Description: bacterial SSU rRNA
Rfam family: Bacterial small subunit ribosomal RNA
Source: RNAcentral